ACGCUCGACACCUACGGAAGGCAGCAGUCGGGAAUAUUGCGCAAUGGAGGAAACUCUGACGCAGUGACGCCGCGUAUAGGAAGAAGGUUUUCGGAUUGUAAACUAUUGUCGUUAGGGAAGAGAAAGGACAGUACCUAAGGAGGAAGCUCCGGCUAACUACGUGCCCGCAGCGCGGUAAUCUGAGCGGGCUGGCAAGGC
This 198-nucleotide ribosomal RNA is filed under the name uncultured bacterium. RNAcentral's name for it is "partial 16S ribosomal RNA". It matches the Rfam family "Bacterial small subunit ribosomal RNA", at positions 326 to 539 of the family's 1533-position model. The record is from RNAcentral.